GGUACUCGAGCGGCGAACGGGUGAGUAACACGUGAGUAAUCUGCCCUGCGCUCUGGGAUAGCCACCGGAAACGGUGAUUAAUACCGGAUAGGACCACUUCACGCAUGUGAUGGUGGUGGAAAGUUUUUUCGGCGCAGGAUGUGCUCGCGGCCUAUCAGCUUGUUGGUGAGGUAACGGCUCACCAAGGCUUUGACGGGUAACCGGCCUGAGAGGGUGACCGGUCACACUGGGACUGAGACACGGCCCAGACUCCUACGGGAGGCAGCAGUGGGGAAUAUUGGACAAUGGGCGGAAGCCUGAUCCAGCAACGCCGCGUGAGGGAUGACGGCCUUCGGGUUGUAAACCUCUUUCAGUACCGACGAAGCGAAAGUGACGGUAGGUACAGAAGAAGGACCGGCCAACUACGUGCCAGCAGCCGCGGUAAUACGUAGGGUCCGAGCGUUGUCCGGAAUUAUUGGGCGUAAAGGGCUCGUAGGCGGUUUGUCGCGUCGGGAGUGAAAACACCGGGCUUAACUCGGUGCUUGCUUUCGAUACGGGCAGACUAGAGGUAUGCAGGGGAGAAUGGAAUUCCUGGUGUAGCGGUGAAAUGCGCAGAGAUCAGGAGGAACACCGGUGGCGAAGGCGGUUCUCUGGGCAUUACCUGACGCUGAGGAGCGAAAGUGUGGGGAGCGAACAGGAUUAGAUACCCUGGUAGUCCACACCGUAAACGUUGGGCGCUAGGUGUGGGGCCU
This 731-nucleotide ribosomal RNA is filed under the name uncultured Nocardioides sp. RNAcentral describes it as "bacterial SSU rRNA". It matches the Rfam family "Bacterial small subunit ribosomal RNA", at positions 86 to 830 of the family's 1533-position model. Lineage: Bacteria; Bacillati; Actinomycetota; Actinomycetes; Propionibacteriales; Nocardioidaceae. The record is from RNAcentral.